UCAGCAGCAUUGAGGAGAGGAAGAAGCGGGGAGAGACCAACAAUGACCUGUUUCUGGCAGAUGUGUUUUCCUACCAGGGGAAGCUCCAUGAGGCCGCCAAACUGUACAAGAGGAGUGGGCACGAGAACCUCGCACAUGAAAUGUGUUGGAAGAAAAGCUGAGUGUUGGGAGAGAAGCUGAGGCAGGGCUUGCAUGUUUGCUAGACUUGCUGCUCCUUGCUUCUAGCA
This 227-nucleotide long non-coding RNA is filed under the name Pan troglodytes (chimpanzee). RNAcentral describes it as "long non-coding RNA NONPTRT011580". The record is from RNAcentral. Lineage: Eukaryota; Metazoa; Chordata; Mammalia; Primates; Hominidae.